CUGAGUAUAAGAAAGUGAAAUGCAACCCGGAUCCUUGCUGCUAAAGUAGAGUAGAUAUAAAACAAAAAAAACUCAUAGGGACUUCGUCCUCACUUACAAAACUUGGGAAAGCCAUAAUAAGCUUGUGUAUGGUUUUUGGAGUCCAAUAUGACAAGAUUGGUGUGUAUGACUGAGUAUAAGAAAGUGAAAUGCAACCCGGAUCCUGGCUGCUAAAGUAGAGUAGAUAUAAAAC
This 232-nucleotide long non-coding RNA is filed under the name Arabidopsis lyrata. RNAcentral describes it as "long non-coding RNA (ALYR_LNC000008)". The record is from RNAcentral. Lineage: Eukaryota; Viridiplantae; Streptophyta; Magnoliopsida; Brassicales; Brassicaceae.